This 8354-nucleotide long non-coding RNA is filed under the name Fragaria vesca (wild strawberry). Its description in RNAcentral is "long non-coding RNA (FVES_LNC000416)". The record is from RNAcentral. Lineage: Eukaryota; Viridiplantae; Streptophyta; Magnoliopsida; Rosales; Rosaceae.
AACAUUUCUGUUUUGUGUGAAAUUGGAUUUACUUCAAACAACUAGUUUCUGUGGCGUGCCGGUACUUUUGAGUUAGGUACAACUUGAUCUUCUUUUCUUGUUCACGCUUCUUGACUUCUUCUCCAAGCAAUUGAGAGCAAGCAUGAUCAAACCUGGUGCAAGGUUCUUUCUUCAGACCUAAGGAAAUCCUCAGGAUUUUUCUCUGCUCACAUGAACAGACAGAUCCUACUUGAGCCGAUAAGGUCAAGCAGAGCUAAUGAAUGUUAGGAUAGGAUAUUUGUCAAGGAUUUCUCCUCAACAAUGGAUAUUUGUUAGGUUUUUACACCCAACAAUGGUUUGGCAGGGAUUUGCUGACGGAUCAGACUUUAUGAGUUGAAGUUGCCAACGAUCGGACUUGGUUUUUGCCAACGGAUUGGUCUUUGGGUUUGUCGACGAAUCGGUCUUGAAUAGAAAAGACACUAGAGAGUCUUUUAUAGGUGGGUGCUCCAGGGAGACUUUGAUAUUUGCAGUGUGCAAAGUUUGAUUGUAAGAUUGGCUGUCCUUUUGCUUGUUCCCCUUGACCCCUUUAUACAAGGAACUAGGGUUCAAAUUCCUUGUGGAUCAAGGCAUAUUGGACCUCUAUCUUAACAGGAAAGUAUCUCUUAAUCAUAUUAUAAAUUAGAUUCUUAAGCAACCACAAUAUCUCUACCAUAAUUUACCCAAGGGAAAGAAAUAUAUUUACAAAGACAAAUAGGACCGUAGGUGUCGGUCCAAUGGGCUUUCAAUACUAGACUAAUCCAAAAAUAUUAAUAUAGGCCCAAACAUUGCCCCCUAGGCCUCGAAAUUGAGUCCUAACCCAACACUGAAAUUGAAGAGGGCUAAACCCCAAAAAGGGUGUAACGUUUAACUGAAACACUGCAUUGUUUCCCUCGCUUCUCCUACUUCUCACAAAAGCUAAAGACAUAAUUGUUCAUAGAAACCCUUUUAGUUUCUAUAAACGGAGAACACUUCUCUUGUUCGAUCUCAAACAACACAAUGACAUUCUCCAAAUCUAAUCCCAAAGCUCCUAAGCAAGGCGUAGCCGAGAAUUUCAAGAUGAACAUGGUCAAUCUGAAGCCCCAUCUCAAAGCUUAUGGUUAUUAUAUGAAGAUCAAUUCUGAUAAGACAGUUGCAUUGGAACCUUGGGUGAAGUUGAUUUCAAGACCCACCCCGAAUUUUACCCUAAAAUCAGGAGUAAAUCCUGCGGGGACCAUCUCCAAAGAAGAUAUUACCAAAAAUUUGGCAUAACCUCCCUUGAAAAUGGACAACCCUUCCUAAAGAAAACCUGCAAACACUCCCAAAAUUUUCAAUCCAACCUUAACUUCUGGAGCCUACGUGCUCCCCAAAACACAACACCACCCAAAUUAUUUACUAAUCUAAACAAAUCUCAUAUCCAACCAUUUAUAGGUUCAGAGCAACUCUAACAGGAAGAAAGGAAACAUAAAAAAAAAAAAAUUAACAAGCGGAAGCUAUAUGAUGACUAUGCCUCAUCUCCAUGUACGCCUGACCUCAACUAUGCAAUCCUGCAAACUGGGCAUUUUUAAAAGAAGGGCCCAGGGGAAGACAUUUGAAACCGUUAGAGUGAGUGGACAAAAAUAAAUUAAUAAAUAUUUAUGCAUUCCCAAUUUGAAUUUCAUAGAAAAUAUACUACAUGCGGCAACUCAAAAGCUCACAACUCAACGAUUGGCAAUUUCGUGACUAGCUCCGGCUAGCCUCCAAACUUAUAUAUAUAUAAAUAAAGCCUCUCAGGCUAAAUUAUAUAUAAAUAUAUAUAUGUGUAUGUAUUUAUACUCGUCAUACUCCUUGUACGAAUUCUAUGAAGGAAUAAGCAAAAUAGAAAUUCAUACAAGACUACUACGCUUGCGUCUAACGCUCACGUCACACCAUAAUGGAAUUUUUCCUCAUUAUGGCGGAAAAGCACGAGUGUAUAUACGUGUGGACUCCCUAUAUGAAACCUAUAUGAACCAGAAAAGAAAGUAGUUUUCAUAUAGGGCUACUACGCUUGUGUCUAACACUCAUGUUACGCCAUAAUGAAAUUUUUCCUCAUUAUGACGGAUCAAGCACGUAUGGCUAGUUAGCAUUUAUAUAUACAUACUAUCCUCAUAAACAUCCAAUAAACAUAUCCACCGAAAAUCUCAUUUCCGGGAACUCUCCAAAGGAGGAAAAUUGCCAAAUAUCUAAGAAAGAAAUAAAUCUCAGCAAAAGAAAUAAAUGAUCAACAAAAUAAUUCAUCGCAUGUUUUUCAAUUAAAACAAAGGUCCACUCACAACUUUAGGCCUAAGCCUGACGUCAAUCCGAGGCUUCUUCUGCUCGGGCCUCCUCUCGUCCUGUUCCAGAUAUAUAAUUAAUUUCCCACUAAAAAUCCAAUAAUUAAACAAAAUGGGCAAAAUUAAACGUGAGCCUCCCACACACUCAUCAUUGCCCAACUUCGCCAUUCUUAACUCAAAAUGGCUCAAACUUCACCGAACAUACCGGCAGCCCUAAUUCAACCUUCCACAGAUUAAUGGCAUAAAUCAUUCGGCCGGAUUCUACAUUAUUCAACUGCCAAAAAUACCACACUUCGGAAAUUCAUAAACCUGUCCAAAACUCAUCCAAAAAUUCCAUAAUUCACUUCAAUAAACUCCCCUUAAUAUUCCAAAUUUAAAAACAUUAAAGUCUCCCAACCGGCGCCGGCGCCGGCGUCAGCUCCCCCGGCAGCGGCAGCCGGAGGCCGAUUCCAGCGACCUUCAAUUCCUACCACAUUUUAACAGAAGCUUCCUCUCCACUCCCUCUACAAGUUUUCUAACUAGCACAAACACAAAUUCCAAGCCUAGCUAGGGCAAUCGAACAUAAACACCUAAAGAGCCAUAGGAUUUCAACUUUGAAUUUCUCCUUACCUAGCUCAAGAGGGAGUGAGACCUUUGGAGGGGUUGCUGCAUAGGAGGAGGGCUACAAAACUAGCCAAGGAUCACCGGCUUUGGUGGCCGGAGGAGGGAGUUCUGGCAAUGGAGGGCUUAACGCAAUUGGACCUCUCGGGCCCGAUAUCUUCCUCAUGGCGGCGCUAGGGGGGCUGUCACCGGCCUAGAAUGGAAGCUGGGAUGGAGAUCGACCGAACGGGACCGGUGCGGCAGUCUCAGGCGGCUGGACGGCGGCGGACGAGCGGCCGAAAGUUUUCGGCAGAGAGAUGGCUCGGGAGAAAAACCGGGAGAGAGAGGGAGAAAAGAAAGAGAGGGAGUUGGGUUUGGGCCUCACCCAUCCGGUCCAAAACCUUUAAACCCACACUUACUCCAAAAUAAAACACCCCGAAAAAAUAGUACCCUAAUAAAAAUUACCUUUUACUGGCUAAAAUUUACCAUUUUUACCGUCGUCAUAUAUUUUUCUCUUACGAAUAAUUCUCCGUAAAUAACCGUCCCCCAAACCCCUCUAGGGACUAAUUAAACUAUAACCUCAAUGACGGAGACUAUAAAAUUCUUAUUAUAACCAAGAUAGUAAAUAAGGUAAAAAUUUAAGGGUCGGGAUGUGACAAUUCUUCCCUCCUUAUAAAAAUUUCGUCCUCGAAAUUUACAUACCUGCCAAUCGAAGAGAUAGGGAUACCGUUCCCAUUUACUCCUCUGAUUCCCAAGUAGUUUCCUCUACACUAUGACUCCUUCAUAGAACUUUAACAAGAGGAAAUGAUUUGCUUCUAAGCACUUGCUCUUUUGGGUCAAGAAUCUGAAUCGGCUCCUCAUCAUAGGUCAAAACUUUUUCCAAUUAAUCAGCUGCUCUCGCAACACAUGAAAGAGAUCGGCAAUAAACUUGCGAAGCAUGGAUACAUGAAACACAUUAUGUAUCUUGGAUAACUCCGGAGGCAAAACUAACCGAUACGCAAAAGAGCCAACUUGAUCUUAAAACCCAUAAGGGCCAAUGAAUCUCGAACCAAGCUUUUCACGUUACCAAAACGUACCACCCCUUUCCGAGGAGACAAUUUCGAAAACACCCCAAACACUCAUUUGAAACUCAUGGUGCUUCUUACGGACAUCUUUAUAACUCUUCUGGCUACUAAGAGCUGCUUUGAGUCUACCUCUGACUCCUUUAACCUUUUCAUUUGAAUCCUGAAUUAUUUUAAAUCUUCUCAAAGACUCUAAAUCCCUCGUUGAACUGCCAUUAACGUUUACACGAAAGUGAGUUCAGUGAUACCUGCUCCAGAGUACGAGUACUCGUAGGUAUGCACUCUUUCUUGAGCAAUGGAAAUCGCUAACUCAAAUAAAGCGCAUAAAUUUGCUAUCACCAUCGGGCUAAAAUCUCCUAAUGUCACACAACAACCUCGUCAUUACGUUGAUCACAAACUCGACGAUGAAGCCCACUUGCUAGGAAACUAAAGUUCACCCAUUCCCACAAGCUCAUAGGGGUUAAAAUUAAGACCCGCUAAUUGAACAGAUUUAAGGAUGCACACACUGUAGAACUGCAACAAUCACUUCUAAUACCGAGACACUUUGCGGAGUCAAAGCUCUCGCAAGUCCACAAGACAACCUUGUUCUGCCUAAGUGACCAGUCUACCAACAUAUGAUAACCUCGAUUCUCGAAAUGACAUUAUGAAAAGAUCAAUACCACGUCACUUAGGUCUCUCCACCAAAACUAUUACAUUACCAUUUUAUACACCACAAACUAGCAGCUUAUGGGAAUUUCAACUCUCUCCUGAUUCUGCGAUCUCCACUAUUCUCUUUACCACAAACCAGAAGAUAAUCUGAAGCAUGACUAUCAUGUGGAAACUGGAUAUUCCUCCAUGCUUGCCAUAAACAAAAAUGACUAAUAAUGCCCACGAAGAAUUCGCAUAGUUAAAUCAUGAUGCUAAACUUGACGUUGAAAUCCACAUAAAUAGAACACCUUCCUUAAGCAUUGACAAAAUUUACAUCUCCAGCCAUGCUACUUAUUCGGGUACAAUCACGACCCCAAGAGCAAUAAUUAAAAGCACAUGGCUCACUCUAGCCGUUCCAUAAGAAUGAUUCUAAAUAUCAAAACCUUUGAACUCGACAAACACACUUCUUUUCUACCUAUAAUAAUAAUUAAUCUGAUAGCAGAAAACGAUCUGAAAAUCAGAUAUGCUCAAGUCUCCUACGCCUCCCAGGGCCAUGGCUUCCCACCAAAAAGAUUCUUUGAUACUCGAGCUUGCAAUAACAUGCAACUAACAAAAACAAAGAUAAAUUUUUAUACAAGACCGACUACUACACCUUGUGGUUCACCAACCAAUGAAAACCAUGAAUUCAAGCAAGAAUCAAAACUCAUGGCUUAACUCAGCUCAAGUUCUAGAAGAAAUGACUUAAAGCACACAAAAGGCAAGUCCUCUAACUUUGAGCUCAAAAGCUCCACAAAUCUCCGAUAUUCGCCAGAACCCGCUUCGAAAUCGCACUAGAAACCUCCACUAAUCAUCCUGACACCAACGGAUGAACGCACAACCAAAUAACGAAGACCUCCCAAAUCAAACUUGGAUCAAUUACUGGUCCCACCACAAUACGAUCCCGAGAAGAGACGCUGAUCAACCUAUCAAAAUCUACUACUCUCAAUAUUAAAACUCUUAAUAAACCUUGACUCUAGACGCUUCUUGAGUCAAUAGGGGAAAACCUUCUCCCAUAAUGCUACAACAUAAAAUAUACCUACAACGACACCAACCAUCUAAUCAACAUCACCACACGACUCUUAGACUACCACAUAGGACUUAUGGCUCCAAGAUUCAUCGGUUAAUUAAACUCCAGCUCACAUGGGAUCACGAUUGGAUUUAUCCAGGAUCCAUGCCUACAACACAACAACCAAUUUAUCAUUUACCUCGAAACUUCGACAAAAUAACCAAAAUCUCUACCCUUCAUAUUGAAGCAUUGAAUUUGCAUUCCUUAAUUUCAAGCUCUGAGGAUGCUACCCAAAAACUACAGUAGGAAUAAUUUAAAUAUUCCCACACACACCACAACCAAAACUUUACUCCAUCUCACUGAAUAAGAUAUAAGGUGAGAACAGAUCCUCCCAUUGUUGUGUCGUAGCUAGUCACCCAUUGCGAACGAAGUGAUGUCAAUAACCAACUUCGAUCACAAAUUCAAGACUUAAAUCAACCACCCGGAACGACAUUGCUUAAAAAAAUUACUUUGGACACCCACGCACUCUUGCUCCAUGAUCUAGUGGGUUUUAUUCCACUGCUACCACUUCCACCAACUCCACACAACUGCUAAAGAAUACCCAUGACAACACAUAUUAAAUUCACCAGGUGUUGUCAUAAAACUGGAGUGACCACAACCAUCCCGCUCUCACUCCACCAUUACUUUUCAAUUCCAUCUAAAUUUAUCAUCUUCCCAGAACACUCAACAAAACUAGAGACCAAACUUCAACACCUAGAAUUCCGAAAGGAUCCAUAAAGGCCACACAAUUUAAAAAAAUACUAUAACCGAUAAUUGCCACUCGACUCUUCAAAGCUUGCUUGCAAUUCGAAACAUUUAAUAACACCAUUCAAUUCCUUAAAUUCUCUUACUAUAACGCAUGAAUACAUAUGUCACAACGCUAUGCCCAUGGGCUGUUGAAAAACCAACAACCCCAGAAAAUAAUUCGGGAGUCAUUACACCGAGCGUCUCAACCAACUCCAGCUAAAUCACAAUAUAGACAAAGCCAUCCGAAUCUUAUUACUCAUCGACUAUUAUUAUCCGUCAUUUCCAAAAGAUAUUACCACCACCAUCUUAAUAAAUUGCUCAAAAGAUAAAAACUUAACCAUAAUUAGAGUUGUAGGAACCAGAAUAUGUGCUGACAUAACCAGCAUUAUCCUAAAAUGUUGCCAACUGCUUUCUACUGCGGAUAAGCAUAGUCGGCAAAAUGGCUUUAAAUCAUGACUUAUAUAAAUUGACAUUUAGCUCUUUAUGUAGCAAUGCCUUACCACCCAAUCACUAGCCACAAAUCCCACGUGACUAAAAUCGCUCAAGCUUAGGGUCCGCAACAACUCAUAAAGGUACCUCCUAGAGUUACCUCCAAGAGUUACUAUAGGUACCCACCAUAACACUUCAACUAACUUUAACCUCAAAAGAAAACACCACUACCUCAAACUUUCUUUCUAACUAUUUUCUCCCAGAAGUCAAAUAACUCGAAGCCAAGAUUUUCUAUCGGACUACAACAACUUCACACUUGCCCACUAUAAAUAGUGACCUCCAAGGCUUGAAUUAAACUUUUCACCUUCUACACAUUCGCACGAGAUGCUCACCCUAGCAUCUUAAUCAUAACCCAAACAAUCAUUGAUCACAUGAAAGGAAUGCUGCCAUGCAUAUGAGUUCCCAUCUCGCAAUUAAACUCUAACGUACAAUUUAUGAUAUCAACUAGAUACCCUUGGAAAAGGCAUAAACCAAACACCUCCUUCCCUAAUCAAAGCAGGAUGAUCACUUAAGAGGUCGGCGUACGGAGGCCUAGUCUUGAAGAUAUAGACAUUUAUGGAUAAUACUGUCCAUAGAUAAGACAAGAAUAACUACAUCACAAACCUAAUCAACACAUAGUGUCUAAAACAUAUAAUGCUAAUAGAUCCGCCACAGUCGGACCAUCACUCUAUAGACACUAAGUAUGACCAAGAAUAUGAGGUAGUACUAAAAAGAGAAAGGAAUCGAAUAACGUAGUGCUCUGAUACCAAUUGUCAAAACCCACCCCGAAUUUUACCCUAAAAUCCGGAGUAAAUCCUGCGGGGACCACCUCCAAAGAAGAUAUUACCGAAAAUUUGGCAUAACCUCCCUUGAAAAUGGACAACCCUUCCUAAAGAAAACCUGCAAACACUCCCAAAAUUUUCAAUCCAACCUUAACUUCUGGAGCCUACGUGCUCCCCAAAACACAACACCACCCAAAUUAUUUACUAAUCUAAACAAAUCUCAUAUCCAACCAUUUAUAGGUUCAGAGCAACUCUAACAGGAAGAAAGGAAACAUAAAAAAAAAAUUAACAAGUGGAAGCUAUAUGAUGACUAUGCCUCAUCUCCAUGGAAGCUAUAUGAUGACUAUGCCUCAUCUCCAUGUACGCUUGGCCUCAACUAUGCAAUCCUGCAAACUGGGCAUUUUUAAAAAGAAGGGCCCAGGGGAAGACAUUUGAAACCGUUAGAGUGAGUGGACAAAAAUAAAUUAAUAAAUAUUUAUGCAUUCCAAAUUUGAAUUUCAUAGAAAAUAUACUGCAUGCGGCAGCUCAAAAGCUCACAACCCAACGAUUGCCAAUUUCGUGACUAGCCCCGGCUAGUCUCCAAACUUAACAAAAAUAAAGCCUCUCAGGCUAAAUUAUAUAUAAAUAUAUAUAUAUAUAUAUAUGUGUAUAUAUUUAUACUCGUCAUACUCCUUGUACGAAUUCUAUGAAGGAAUAAGCAAAAUAGAAAUUCAUACAAGAC